This 2035-nucleotide long non-coding RNA is filed under the name Phoenix dactylifera (date palm). RNAcentral's name for it is "long non-coding RNA (PDAC_LNC013412)". Lineage: Eukaryota; Viridiplantae; Streptophyta; Magnoliopsida; Arecales; Arecaceae. The record is from RNAcentral.
GCGUAACCCGCUCCGAAAAUCCAUUAAGGGUCCAUCACGUGCAAGUCAUGUGCGUCGCUUUUUCUUUUUCUUUUUUUUUGGGGAUCCGAGCUAUCGGAUUCGGGUUAACGGUUUGUGACUUGCCCGUUAAUCCUUUCUUCAACCUCCAGAUGGUUUCGGGAGGACGUGCCGCCCUUCGUGGCGGCAGCGGCGGGCUGGGCGGAGGUCGCGGCCGCAACUCUGCGGUGACAGGGCAACCGAUCUCGGGUUUUCCGGCGACGGUCUCCUCUGCGGGCCCGAUGCAGGCGGCCGGUGGCAGACACGGGCGGUUCGGGUUGUAGCGGUGGAGGGAGGCGGUGGGGCGGCGACGGAGAGGGACAACAGUGUCCCACUUCCGGAUCUAGCCACGAAUGGUGGCCACAGGGGUCGGGGCCGAAAGCUUUCUCUGUCAGGAUGGUUUGCCGCGCGGUUGACUCCAGGACGACGGGCUUCCAUGGUGACAGGUGGCCACUGCGCUCGCGGCCACCGCUUCCAUCCCUCGCCGCCGACAACACCCCAGGGGAACAGGGAACCUGCAAAGGGGUUUUUGUCCCCUUUUCCUGGAGAAAACACAAACCGAGAGAGAGGGAGUGUCGAACGUGGACGGGCGGCGAUUUGGGCCUUCACAGACUCGGCGGUGGUGUCGGGAGGGAACUGGUUGUGGUGUGAUAGAAGGAAGAAGAGGCUGGAUCAUGGCUUUGGCAACAGGGAAAAAGCCUGGCUGCUCUGAAAGAGAGCUAGGAGUUGGGACUUCCACUUUUUCAGUUGGUGCUGAGUCAAAUCCAAGGAUAAAAACUUCUUCUUAUUGUUGUGCUCUACCUCUUUCUAUUCUUCCUCCGUAGUCGAAUUUCUUGGUGGAUGUCAGUCAAUUGUGCUUCAAGGGACAUGAGUCAGUCCUUUGGGAUGCACAGUUUGCCUUGGACCAAUGUGUUUACAACCAAGGCAGGCUUGUCCUCUUCUAAGGAAGCUAUCUUAACCUCACAAGUUGAUCAGUAGACCAAUUUGCAACUAAUGCUGAGAGGCUACGAUUGUGAUUGCGCAAGAGAUGGAUUGACAACAAGCUGCAAAUGAGACAAGGAGAUAGCUGUGGGAGAGAAAGAUCCGAUUAGGGGAGAAGACCUUCUAUAGGUUGUCAGAGUAUCUACUUUCUAGGUUAGGUUGGCCAAUGGGUGGUGAAUGUCAAAGAUGUUAGUCAACUUAUGUUAAAGAUCAUCAACCUAAUAUGUUGAGAGGUCGGCCAAGUGAUGAAAGAUGAGACUAGAUUUGAAACUUGGCCAUGUUCUUAGGAGAAACUAGCUUGUCAAUUGGAAUGGUAAGAAUAUGCUGCAGCAACUCUUAGCUAUCAUAAUUUUUGCAAUAAUAUCAGAUGAUGACUAGCCAAUACAGGCCCCAUCAACCUAGCCCUAGACUACCAAGACUUGUGAAAAAGGAGUUAUGUCAGCAAAUGAAAAGAUAUUAUUAUAUCGACAAUCAAGCAAUACCUCAUGGACUUCAAAGUAAACCAUAACAUCACAUUGCAACAAAAGCCUGAUAACAAAACAAACACGAGUUAAAAAAGGGAAGUCAUGCUAGGAAAAAGAUGGUGAUAAAAAAUGGAAAUUAGGUGGUUGAAUGCAUGAUUUACAAAUUUAUUUCACUCCUCAAGCAAAACCAUAAGAUUUAAAUUUCCCUCCACAGCCAAACCACUAAAUUAUUUAUUUCACUCCUCAAGCAAAACCAUAAGUUUUAUAUGACUGACUUUAUCAAUAGAAAAUAUGUUUUCAAAGGGCUGCAGUACAAUUCUCUAAAAAAAAGUGCUCAUUAUUUUUUAACUGAAAAAUACAUUUAUGCUAAUCUUUAUUCCCAGUCCCUAACAUAGAUUUUCAUUUUUUCGAAUUCCAAAGAUGCCUCCACGACCCCACAGAAACAGUGAUUAGAAUUUCGCAGAUGCCCCCACAACCCCACGGAAAUAGGGAUUAGAAUUCCGAAGAUGCCCCAUGACCCCACGGAAACAGGGACUGAAUGCGGAAUGGAAAUC